AUUGAACGCUGGCGGCAUGCCUUACACAUGCAAGUCGAACGGCAGCACGGGAGCAAUCCUGGUGGCGAGCGGCGAACGGGUGAGUAAAGUAUCGGAACGUGCCCAGUCGUGGGGGAUAACGUAGCGAAAGUUACGCUAAUACCGCAUACGAUCUACGGAUGAAAGCGGGGGAUCGCAAGACCUCGCGCGAUUGGAGCGGCUGAUAUCAGAUUAGGUAGUUGGUGGGGUAAAGGCUCACCAAGCCGACGAUCUGUAGCUGGUCUGAGAGGACGACCAGCCAAACUGGGACUGAGGCACGGCCCAGAGUCCUCCGGGAGGCAGCAGUGGGGAAUUUUGGACAAUGGGCGCAAGCCUGAUCCAGCCAUGCCGCGUGCAGGAUGAAGGCCUUCGGGUUGUAAACUGCUUUUGUACGGAACGAAAAGGUUUGGCCUAAUAAGCUGGACCCAUGACGGUACCGUAAGAAUAAGCACCGGCUAACUACGUGCCAGCCGCCGCCGUAA
Molecule: ribosomal RNA, 500 nt
Filed under: uncultured bacterium
Lineage: Bacteria
Description: partial 16S ribosomal RNA
Rfam family: Bacterial small subunit ribosomal RNA
Source: RNAcentral